CUUGGAUCUUGUCAGAUGCAUUCUGAGCAACUCUUAUGUCUCACAUCCCAGACACAUCUUCAGCUAAGAUAAAAAUUAUAUGGGGGAGAAUCUGGUACUCUCUAGACCUGAAAUUCUGGGGGCUGUUUUAUUUUUCAUUUCUCUGUGAUUUAUAAAUUUAAAACCUAUACUUUAUUUUUUCUGUGGAACAGUAUAUUGAGCCUUAAAACUAAUAUUAAACUGUCUUAAAAUAAUUUAAAAUAGUAUCUUAUUUGAUCCCACUACAUUCUUGUUGAGAACAUCUUACAAUAUCCAUUUUGUAUAUGAGUAAGCUAAUUCCUUAGAGAUCAAGUAGUCUGUUUAAAGGCUCAUGAAUUUGUUAGUGUCUAAGUCUCCUGACUCUUUGUACAACAUUCUUUGCAUUUUGUGGCACUGCUUUAUUGUUGUUAUUAAAACCCAUCUUUAGGCUUGCAUUCAUCUGCAUUUCUGCACAUCUUCUGAGAUGCUCCAUUUCAAGCCAAUAUUCUGUUUUUAAAAAAUGAUCUUAAGUACAGCUUUAAUCAAACAUUUACAUUGUUAAUACACUUCAAAGUCCAUUUUCUUUCCCUAACUAAAACAUACCCUGAGUGAGUAGAUAUUAGCUAUGCUUCUACUUAGUCAAGGAUACCAAGUGUAAAAGAGCAAUAGAAUUUCAUGUAGCUGGCAGAGGCAAUAGAUUCACGACAUCCUGACAGUCAAAUCUAAGCUCCUAGGUCAACUCUUACAGCUUAAAUGACUUCAGGGGUCAGACAAAAAUAUUAACAAGUGAAGUAUACAAGGGUUGCUGCAAAAUAGGAUCUUAAUAGUAUUCUUUGGACAGAGACACACCUUGAAUAUUAGACACAUAGGAAUAGAUUUCACGAGAUGUGCUGUCACUUUAUUUUCCCUUUUAGGAGGAAGAGAAUAACAAUCAAGCAUGGUAAUGGAUGAAUAUCUUCACCAUAAAACUGCUGAACUUGUAGGAGUCAAGAUGAAGCACCUCUGUAUGCAGCGACAGAGCCUUCAGGAAUCAAUCCGUGUAAUUUGUUUCCUCUUCUAUCACCUUUGUACACAAAAAGCAGUGUUGUGCUUACCUUUUAGUUACGUCAAAAGAAAAGAAGGACAUAAAGCAUGGGGUAUUUCCAUUCCGUGCACAUAAAGGAUCCUAGGCAAGUCAAGCAGUGUGUGGCAUGAGUUUUGAAAAAAAGCUUUACUCAAAAAGUACUUGUGGUACAACAACCUGGAUAGCUGGAAGAUUCAAGAUCAAUGCUAAGCCCAACAUAAAGCCAGAGGAUAAUGAAAAUAAACAAAGAAGAAUAAUGGUUUAAUAUUUCUUC
This 1334-nucleotide long non-coding RNA is filed under the name Vulpes vulpes (red fox). Its description in RNAcentral is "lncRNA (ENSVVUG00000019593.1)". Lineage: Eukaryota; Metazoa; Chordata; Mammalia; Carnivora; Canidae. The record is from RNAcentral.